AAGGUGUACAGGAAAUACAGCAGAGGUUAUUUUUUACACUGUCCAUAUAUAUAUAGGACCACCCCUGGGACAACGUAAUGGGACUGUCUAAUUUGCAUCUGCACUUGCUAAUCAUUGCAUUCUUUAUCAGCAGUGUUGACAACAUGCAUUUACAGCAUGCCUCGUGGAAAACAACUCAGAGGAAGAAGUUUGAGAAGUCUGGUACCUGCCUGGUGCAGGGUGGUCACAACGGAAAAUUGCUGCAAAAAUUUGGCGAUUUAAGCAUGCAUUUCAACUUGUGACUAAACGUGGGAUAUCUAGAACAACAAUAAAACGUCCUGGACGAAAACAAAGCUUCUCUGCAAAAGCCAGAAGACAAAUCAUCCACAUGGCGGUCUCACAAAAGAUGUCUGCAGC
RNAcentral lists this long non-coding RNA (396 nucleotides) under Androctonus crassicauda. The record is from RNAcentral. Lineage: Eukaryota; Metazoa; Arthropoda; Arachnida; Scorpiones; Buthidae.